AUAUUUCUUGGUCUGUAUGUUGAGAUAAAGGGUCUAGAUUAUAUCUAACAGUCCCAUUAAAGAGAGUAGGUUCCUGAGGUAUAAUCCCAAAUCUUGAUCUCAAAUCAUGAAGUCCAGUUCUAGAGAUGUCAAUGCAAUCUACCACAAUCUUUCCUCCAGCUGGUUCUGCCAGAUGAAACGAAGCACCUAUAAGAGUAGUUUUUCCGCUGCCUGUUCUGCCAACGAUACCAAUUUUAUGUCCUUCAAUGGUGCAGGUUAUUCCUUGAAGAACCAGUGGCGCUUCAGGCUGAUAUCUGAUCUGUUAUGUAAUCCAUUCUUUCUCGGCAUAAUAACUAAACAUUAGAUUGAAGGGAAACAAAAGAAAAUGUACCUGUAAAUUGGAUAUCUCCACUUUCCCAAUAGCUGGCCAGUUGCUUGGAGGCCGGUUCUCUUCUAUCACUUCAGGUGCUUCACUUGGUAUAUGCAUGUAUUGAUCAAGUCUUUCAACCACUCAUUGGCUGCAAAAUUGUGGAAGGAAGGACUAGCAUUAGUGUCAAUGAGGUCAAGAUUCUCUGCAAAGAACUGCUCUUCCUCCUCGAAAGCUCUAAUCAUCAUGGCUCCAGCUAUAGAUUCGGCUAGAUGAUUUGCUACCAGCGACUUGGUUGUGCCAUUUAUCCACAUCAACUCCUUUGCUAUAGCGUAUUAAUACCUCUGCAGAUAAACAAUGCAAGUAUUUUGUAAAUAUCAAGAAAGCAAGGCCUAAAAGAUCUUGUUAGUAUUGACAGAAAGAACCUAGAUGACCAUACCUGUAAGCGAACUGCUAAAAAAAUCAUUGGAAUGGAGAUGAACAGGACUUGCCACAUGACAAACCCCAGUACUCCAAGAUUAGAGUAAGCAUUCAGGGUAGUCACAAGAGCAAACAUUAAGCUGAAUGGCACAUCAAGAUCGACUAUGCUAAGAUCAGAAGAGACCUAAAGAAGGACAAAAGAACUAGAUUAAGAAAGAUUACUUCCAAUUAAUGGUUACUUAAAACUGAUGCAUCAGUAUUUGGUCAAUUGUGCUGCUUACCCGACUAAGUAUUCUUCCUAGACGUGUGGAGUCAUAGAAAGACAUUGGAGCACGGAAAAGGGAGUUUAGCAGCUGUGAAAAUAAAGAUUUUGAUUAUCUGAUACCCACAAUGACAAUAAAAAGAUACCUAAUUAGCAAAACAACUGUUAAGCUAACUCCAAUCAACAGAUAAACAGUAACGAGAAGCAGUGUGCCAACAUGAGGAUUGUCAACAUUAGCCGCCAUCCAAGAGUUCUGUGCUAUCCGACAACUCACAAACAUAACAUGAGAAAGACAAGCAAUGGAUAGGAACAAAAAACCCUUUGUCCAGACCAAGAUACUGUCUAAAUGGCUUAAUCCCGUUGUCUCCUAUCUCUCACUCUUCUCGCUUGAUCAAUUGAUCACCUUUGCAGGUUCUGAAUUUAUUCUCCACAUAAGUCCUCUUGAUCUCCCUAGCACCUGUUCAUGUAUCUGGGGCUUGCUAACCUCAGCAACCCUUUCAGAACCAGCAAUUUCUUUGUGUGCAUUGACAAGGUUUUGAAAUUCUUGGCUUGUAGCCAGUAAUUGAUGAUAACGUGCAGCUUGAAGGAUUUCUCCAUCUGACAUCAACUGUUAACAUAACAAAAGUAAAACUUAAACUUUUAAAAUAUAAUAUUAUUAUUGACAGUUAAAAAGAAAUUAUAGAACAGAUUUGGAUGUCCAAUGUAGGUAAAGCAAAAGAAAAAUAAAGAACAUUCAGGAAGUUUCUGAAGCACAGUAUACUGACCAAAACAGAAUGAAAUGCAGGCAAGAAAUCUACUUGAUGGGUCACAAGUAACACUGCCUUCCUAGAAAGUGCUUCCAUAACAUAUUCCUGUGAAGAUUUAUGUCAGUUUUCUCUAAAGGAUGGUAAUGAAAGUAAUUAGAAGGUAAUAAAAGCAUGUAUUUACAUUGAAUAAACUGAUUGCUGUAUGGGCAUCAACAGCACUAAAAGGAUCAUCCAAGAGAUAGAUAUCGGCAUCCUGAUAGAGAGCAAGAGCAAGCUGAAUUCACUGCUUCUGCCCACCACUCAAAUUAACUCCUCUUUCACCAAUCUCAGUCUGAUCACCAUAAGGAAACAACUCAAGAUCCUUUACCAAUGAACAUCACUCAAUUGUUUCUUGGUAUCUUUGUCUAUCCAUUGCAGAGCCAAAUAGAAUGUUUUCCUGCACACUUCCUGUCUGAAUCCAUGCUGUUUGAGAAACAUAAGCAAUUUUCCCAUAAACCUGAAUCUGUUAAUUUGAAAAAAAAAAAAAAAAAAAAAGGAGCAGUUUACAGAUAAGGUAUGAAAGAGCUCUGCAACAUUUAGAUAUAGAAUAAUUAUGAAAAUGAUGGAGCCUGAAAAGAGAAGUAAUUACUUACAGUUCCGUGUGUAUUUGGAACUUCUCCAAGAAUUGCUGCUAGAAGGGUUGAUUUCCCUGAACCAACUUCUCCACAAAUUGCCACUUUUUCUCCAGGCCUAAGCUCUAAACUUACGCCUUCAAGUGUUGACUUUGAAGAAUUCUCUUCCCAAGAAAAACUGGCGGAUAUUAUGAAAAUUGCACGGUUGGUGCACUUCAUGUUGCAAGUGAGAAAUGUAUAAAGCACAUUCGUCCUAAAGCUGUCAAAAACUUAAACCCAUACCUCGAUUGAUCAAAAUCUUCAAUUAGAUCUUCUCUCGAACAGGUGGAAAACAAGACUCAAGUUACCAAAAAAAAAAAAAAAGAGCUGGAGACAAUAAGAUAAACAAACUGAGAAUUGGGUCACCAACAGUUCAUUUCAUUCACAUAAAGAAAACUAGAAAAAGCAGAAGAAUCCAUUUUGGGAAGUACAAGGCCAAUGUUGUUUGGCAUCAAGCCAAAAAAAAACGACAAGAUGAAAACAAUCCAUCGUUGCAGAAGGGGAAAAAAGGACGAUCACACAAAUUUCCUAAAACAAACAAAAAAAGAAGCAGAAUCCAAAUCAAAAUUCUCAACUUAGCAAGUCAAUACUCAAUUACAACAUACAUUUAAAAAAAAAAAAAAAACUAUGAAAUGAAAACGACCAUCGAAAGAAAGACGAAACCAAAACCACCCACAAAGUUAAAUCACAAUAUUUUAUUUGGUUAUACAUAAAACAAAAAUUACAGUGUUGAAGAAUUUUACUUAAAAAAAAAAAAAAAAUUUUAAAAAAAUUAAAAAAAAGUUUUCUAAAAAAAAUUUUGAUAAAAAAUACAUUAAAUAAUUAAAAAUUAAUAAAAAAUAUAUUAAUAACUAGAGUUUGACGAAAAAUACGAAAUAAAAGUAUUUUAAAAUAUAAAAGUCAAAUAAAAAAAAAUAUUAAAAAAAGUGUUCUAAUAAAAUAAAUUUAAUUAUUAAAAUUUUUAUGUUAAAAAAAAUUAUUGAAAAUAAAUGUAAAAAUUAUAAUUUAUUUUAUUUAUUUAUUUAAAUUAAAAUAAAAUUUAUUUUUUAUUAAAUUUAAUUUAUAUUUAUUUUUUAAAUUAUAAUAUAUUAUUUUUUUAAAUUUUAAAUUUAGUAUAAAAUCAUUUAAAAAUAUUUUAAAUUAUUAAAUAAAUAAAAUUAAUAAAAAUUUAAAUUUUCUUCCUACUAUAAAAAUCCCAACACAAACAUAUAUACAUAUACACCCGAAAAUCUAACCGACCAAAACGUCUCCCUGCUGAUCCGUCCGCCGGCGGAAGCGUCGGUCACUAGUUCAAGAUCAGCCACGGCCAUGUUCGAGAAACUCGCGAGAAAAACAGCUUCGUCGUGAACAUCUUGGCCGAAUGAGUGAGACGACGAAGGUGGCGGUGUAAAUGGGUUUCUUGCCGUGCAUGGCGGUGGCUUUGAGCCGGCAGUAGACAAUGGGGUCUUGUUAGGAUUUGCAGAGGAGAAACCCACGUCCCAGUUCGCAGUUGACUAAUCAAAUCGAUAUAGUAUCAAAUCAAUAUCAUUUUUGUAUGAAGCAAAUAGUUUUUUUUUUUUCUUAUAAUUUCGAGUCCGAGUCAUCUUAGAGAUAUAAACGUUAUAUUCACGAUCUAAUUAUUUAGGUAAUAUAUUAAAUAUAUUAUUAUUUGAUAAUUUAUUUUAAUAUAUAACAAUAAUAUUUUUAUUAUCAUUAUUUAAUUUAUAUGAUAAAAUUAUUGAUUAAAUUUAUAGAUUUUAUAUCAAAAUAGAGAUCUUGAUAAUGAGAAUAAAAUAUUUUAUGAUUUACCCUAAAAUAUUUUUAGUCACUAAAUUAUCAAAAUAUUAUAUUAAUAAUCUGGUAAAAUUAAUAUAUAUGUGAUAAUUUUUAUAAGAUAAAUAUUAAUUAAUCUCAUUAAGUAAAUUACAUAUAUAUAUAUAUAUAUAUGAUACAUAUGAACUGACCCAAUUUAAAAUUUUUAAUAGUUAACGUUGUCUUAAAUUAUCAAUAAAAUAUUAUCUUAAGAUGAUAAAAUGUAAGAAUUUUCUUUAAACAUGAGAUCAUCAUAAUAUAAAUCAUUUAUCAUGCUUUAAUUCUGAACACCGAUAGUCAUAAAAUUAUAAUUGAAAGGAUAUUGAGUGUGAUUAAAUACUUAUAGAACUAAUAAUUGAUCAAAACGGAAUCCGUCAAUUUUAGUAAUAAAUUUAAGUUCUAUGUUGUCAUUUAUUAUAAUGAUUAAAUUAAGAUCUUGAAGAGAACAGUUGAAUGAAAGAAAAAAAAAAAUUUUAUGUCAUUCAUUAGUCAAUUAUAAUUGAUAUGAAAUAUAGUUGGUCACCUAUUAGAAUUUAAUAAUGUGCAAUAUUAGUGUAAGAAAUAGUACUUUUAACUCAUUAGUGAAUUAUUUAUUUAACAAAAUUUAAUUUACAGUGGAGAAAAAUGAUUCCUAAAGCUUCAAUGUAGAUCUGCAGAGUGGUAAUGAGACCAGUACUCCUUCACUAGCUGCCCAAAAAGUGAACCUUCCCUCUUCAUUAGCUCCAUUGGCUCAUCAUACUCCACAAGUUUACCUACAACACAGACAAGCAUGAAUAAAUUAUUUACCCGCUAUAAAUAUACAAACGAGUCGAAAGAUUCCGUAAAUGUAAUUAGUUCGUUUUAAAUACUUACCAUCACUAAUAGCGAGCACCAUGGUGCAAUCCAUCACCGUAGGAAUUCUAUGAGCCACUGUGAUUACAGUGCAAUCUGCAAAUUCGCUCCGAAUAGUUCUUUGUAGAAUCAUAUCUGUUGUAUUGUCAAUCGACGCAGUUGCUUCAUCGAGAACCAAUAUACGGCUUCUUCGUAGAAGAGCGCGUCCCAAACAGAACAAUUGUCGUUGACCCAUGCUCCAGUUUGAUCCGUCCUCCACAACUAUGUAUAAGUUGGUGAUUAUUAACAAAACUCGCAAGUAUAAGUAAAAGAAAAACCGAGAAUGUCAAUGUAUAGAUAAUAGAUUGAAUCAUAUUUUUUUUUGUUUAAAAUUUUAUACUUAAUUCAAUUAUUUUAUAUUAUAUUAGAGUCGAAAAAUUUAACACUCAUACUUUACCUAUCUAUAACACUCAUACUGUACUUAUUUAUAUGAUUAAACUAUAAUCAGAACUUUACAAACUUAAGCGUGAAAAAAUGUAUUAUAAAUAAUACGCUAAUGUAGUUCGAUUUAAUAUAUUCCGAGAAAUAUUUUAGAAAUAUUCUGAUAUAUUCGAAGAAUAUUGCAGGGUAAAUCCUGAUAUUUUCUGCAUGUAAAGAUUUACAACUUAACUAAUCUAAUGUACUUUUAUUAUUUAUCAUAAUGAAAAAUUUUCUUUUUGAUCUUUUCCCCUUAUCAAACCACGUAAAGCUUACGUUUUUAUUUUUAUUUUUCUCUCUACUUUAUGUGAUUGUGCGCAUAUUAGGGAUUAAUUUCUACAGCAUAAUAAAUUAUACGUUAGUUCAUAAUAUCUUACCUAAAGAAUCCAAUCCUUCUUUUUCUUGGACAGUCUCUCCAAGCUGACACUUCCUCAGUACCUUAAUGAUCACAAGAACAAGGAAAUGUUCAGCAUUUUCUAUCUUGCAAGUAGUAAAUGUUCAAGCACUUAAAUGAGGGCAUAGAAAAAUUUCAGCAUAUAACAGCAGUCAGAUGCAAAGGAAAUGAAAUGUUGAAACAUUACCUCCCAUAUUUCUUGGUCUGUAUGUUGAGAUAAAGGAUCUAGAUUAUAUCUAACAGUCCCAUUAAAGAGAGUAGGAUCCUGAGGAAUAAUCCCAAAUCUUGAUCUCAAAUCUUGAAGUCCAAUUCUAGAGAUGUCAAUGUCAUCUACCACAAUCUUUCCUCCAGCUGGUUCCACCAGACGAAACAAAGCACCGAUGAGAGUGGUUUUUCCGCUGCCUGUUCUGC
RNAcentral lists this long non-coding RNA (6307 nucleotides) under Carica papaya (papaya). RNAcentral's name for it is "long non-coding RNA (CPAP_LNC012590)". The record is from RNAcentral. Lineage: Eukaryota; Viridiplantae; Streptophyta; Magnoliopsida; Brassicales; Caricaceae.